This 846-nucleotide ribosomal RNA is filed under the name Arcopilus cupreus. RNAcentral's name for it is "partial large subunit ribosomal RNA". It matches the Rfam family "Eukaryotic large subunit ribosomal RNA", at positions 66 to 945 of the family's 3401-position model. Lineage: Eukaryota; Fungi; Ascomycota; Sordariomycetes; Sordariales; Chaetomiaceae. The record is from RNAcentral.
CAACAGGGAUUGCCCUAGUAACGGCGAGUGAAGCGGCAACAGCUCAAAUUUGAAAUCUGGCCUCGGCCCGAGUUGUAAUUUGCAGAGGAAGCUUUAGGCGCGGCACCUUCUGAGUCCCCUGGAACGGGGCGCCAUAGAGGGUGAGAGCCCCGUAUAGUUGGAUGCCUAGCCUGUGUAAAGCUCCUUCGACGAGUCGAGUAGUUUGGGAAUGCUGCUCAAAAUGGGAGGUAAAUUUCUUCUAAAGCUAAAUACCGGCCAGAGACCGAUAGCGCACAAGUAGAGUGAUCGAAAGAUGAAAAGCACUUUGAAAAGAGGGUUAAAUAGCACGUGAAAUUGUUGAAAGGGAAGCGCUUGUGACCAGACUUGCGCCGGGCUGAUCAUCCGGUGUUCUCACCGGUGCACUCUGCCCGGCUCAGGCCAGCAUCGGUUCUCGCGGGGGGAUAAAGGCCCAGGGAACGUAGCUCCUCCGGGAGUGUUAUAGCCCUGGGUGCAAUGCCCUCGCGGGGACCGAGGUUCGCGCAUCUGCAAGGAUGCUGGCGUAAUGGUCACCAGCGACCCGUCUUGAAACACGGACCAAGGAGUCAAGGUUUUGCGCGAGUGUUUGGGUGUAAAACCCGCACGCGUAAUGAAAGUGAACGUAGGUGAGAGCUUCGGCGCAUCAUCGACCGAUCCUGAUGUUUUCGGAUGGAUUUGAGUAGGAGCGUUAAGCCUUGGACCCGAAAGAUGGUGAACUAUGCUUGGAUAGGGUGAAGCCAGAGGAAACUCUGGUGGAGGCUCGCAGCGGUUCUGACGUGCAAAUCGAUCGUCAAAUCUGAGCAUGGGGGCGAAAGACUAAUCGAACCAUCU